Molecule: long non-coding RNA, 215 nt
Organism: Empidonax traillii (willow flycatcher)
Lineage: Eukaryota; Metazoa; Chordata; Aves; Passeriformes; Tyrannidae
Exons: 2
Source: RefSeq, a predicted model, not a curated record
UGGACACCCUGCUACUGAUGGGGACUGGCUCCUGCCUUUUGCUCACCACUACAAAUGCCACUGCACUGAGAAUUACUGACAUUGUCACCGAGGGGGCUGUGGUUGUAUUAUAGAGAAAUCCAGAACUCACAGCCAAUUCAUCUGUGUUGCUUUCCCAGGAACAGUGAUGUUUGUUUUGACAGGAAUCUUUCAGUGAUGUUUUCCAAUUAAAAAAA